CGAAACCGAUAGCGAACAAGUACCGUGAGGGAAAGUUGAAAAGUACUCUGAAUAGAGAGUUAAAUAGUACGUGAAACCGCUUAGGGGUUAAGCCCGAUGAACCCGAAUAUCUGAUGUGAGAAAUUCAAUACUAUUUAUGGAUAGUAUGCACUUUUCUCAUAGUAAGACAUUGUAAUCUAUUGAUGGUAUAUCUUUUUCAUUAUAAGGAAAAGAUGAUUUAACAUACGAACAAAAUGUAUAUGUUUAUUCUAUCAGUGAUGUGUUUACAUAUCAUAUGAAUAAGAUCGUUUUGUUUCUGUUUAAAUAGUUGAUAGAUUUUAACUGAAUCAUGCUUGCAAUUUAUUUUGCGUUUCGUAUUAUUGAUCAUUGCGAUUGGUGAUAGCAGAAAUGGCAUGCAUUCGAUUAACAAUGCGAUAGAUUUGGGAUACUUUCAGGACCCGUCUUGA
This 446-nucleotide ribosomal RNA is filed under the name Youngomyia podophyllae. RNAcentral describes it as "partial large subunit ribosomal RNA". It matches the Rfam family "Eukaryotic large subunit ribosomal RNA", at positions 329 to 657 of the family's 3401-position model. Lineage: Eukaryota; Metazoa; Arthropoda; Insecta; Diptera; Cecidomyiidae. The record is from RNAcentral.